UUUCUGCCAAGAACACCAGCUGGCAGUGAAUGUCCAGGCGCUGAUCGAUGAGGAGCCCCAGGAGUCUUUGUCCUCAGCGAUAAAGCAGGAAGCCAUGAUGAGCUUUGCCAACAUGAGCACUGUGGAGACAGCACUGGAAGGCAAAACGGAGAGCAUCCUGAACUCCUGCUUCAACAGCGUCUUCUUUUUGCCUCCGGAACUGUCCAUAGAAGAAAAGGAGAAAAAGCUCUACCUUGAGACCAUGACUGCCAUGAACACCAUGCUACAAGCCAUGAUGCAGAACUGCCCCGACAGGAGAAUGAGAGAGGAGCUGCACAGCAUCUUUCAGGCUCUGCUCCACUUCUUCAGCUCCCAGGAGAUGCGUGUCCGUACGAGAGCCCUGUAUGGGGUUUUACUGAUGAUCAAGAAUUUUAUAGCAAAAGUAAGGAGCCAGGCACCCUCCAGCCAGGCUGUCUUCCAUUCUCCGUAUCCCAGAGCAGCUCAGAGGUGCCUGCAGCUGGGGUGCAGCUGGGAGCUCUCAGUGGGGCCCUGCCCCAA
This 537-nucleotide long non-coding RNA is filed under the name Chrysolophus pictus (golden pheasant). Its description in RNAcentral is "lncRNA (ENSCPIG00010007052.1)". Lineage: Eukaryota; Metazoa; Chordata; Aves; Galliformes; Phasianidae. The record is from RNAcentral.